Molecule: long non-coding RNA, 343 nt
Filed under: Capsicum annuum
Lineage: Eukaryota; Viridiplantae; Streptophyta; Magnoliopsida; Solanales; Solanaceae
Description: long non-coding RNA (CANN_LNC003560)
Source: RNAcentral
AAUAUUUGGGUUGUGAACACCUUCGAAUACAAAUAAAUUUGAUGUUGUUACACCAAAUUUAGUGACGGAAAGCCAGUGGUCACUUUCAAAUAGUCAGUUUCCACCUGACUUUCCUGAUGCACAAGUAAGGGAGCUUGAGGCAGCAAAAGCUAGUGAAGUAAAACAUAAAUCACCUAUAAAAAGAGACAGAAAAAAGUCAAAGAUUUUUAGGUCAACAUACAUCACAAAAUUUGGAUCGAGCUCUAAAGAUGAGGACAGUUCUGAUAAUGAAGAGAAGCAGAGGUAUGCUUUUGAUGGUUAUACCAUUUAUGAAGACUUGCCUAAUCAAUUGAUCAGCGAUUAU